This 992-nucleotide long non-coding RNA is filed under the name Zostera marina. RNAcentral describes it as "long non-coding RNA (ZMAR_LNC005560)". Lineage: Eukaryota; Viridiplantae; Streptophyta; Magnoliopsida; Alismatales; Zosteraceae. The record is from RNAcentral.
UUUAAUUGAAUUUCAACCCAGCAUUAACCUAGAUAUUACAGUUCUUUAAUACAAGUUCUUACCUGAUAUAAAUUACAACACAAUUGUACUAAUAAUAAAAGUUAAAAUUAGUUUGGUGUCUGUUGGGUACUUCUAACUUGUACAUUCGUCAAUCGUUGCUUUUGGCUUAUUCCUCUGGUCUGGGCAAUUGCCCUCCUUUGCCCUUGGCUACACCCUUGCCCGCUACUUCACCGAUUAAUAGAUCAACAUAAAUACAUAGUCAUUAUCAUAUCCAUACAUACAUAGUGGAAUUGCAUUCAUUAUGAACUAUCAUCAUCAUUUACCAUGAUUUGACAAUUUGUUUGCAUCAUUAGGUAUGUAAUUACCAACGUAAUUUAUAUUAAUACAUAAAAUUUCUCAUACUUGAGUUAGGCUGUACCUUAAGAGAACCAUAAUUUACUGUCUAAAGAGAAGUAAUGAAAAAAGAGUAAUAAGUUUUGCAACUGUUAGAUCAGAGAAUGUUUUUUUUUCUUCCGAAAAUUAUAAGUCUAUAAUUUACGAGCAUGGAGAACUGUCUGGUGUCUAAAAUGACUACUUGUUCAGGAAUAAUAAUUACAAAAAUAUAACAUUUGAAUAAUGAGGAAGAACGGUUGACCGUACGGUGACAGUUAAGAUAUUUUCAUUUUUAUAAAGAGAACCUUUCUUUUCAGUUGAAUGUAUUUCUAAAAAUGUCAAGAAGAAGAAGAUGACUGAAAUCCUGUAACACCGUUGCAUCACUAAAGCUUAUAAUUUUUUUUUGGAGCAAACUAAAGCUUUUAAUUAUAUUUAAUUGAAUUUAAAGAUGUCUAUAUUGAAGAGAAAAUUUUCAGAUUUGCCCAUUGAUUGAAAGGGACAUAGUUCCAGGAUUUCAGGAAGGAAAAAAUACCAGGAAGUGAUGCCAUUGAGUUAAGUCUAGUUUGUGAGUCGUCCUGUCGGUAGUUGAACUGUGAAAGACGGAUAACAAAUAGAAAAAC